GACGAACGCUGGCGGCGUGCUUAACACAUGCAAGUCGAACGGAAAGGCCCUGCUUUUGUGGGGUGCUCGAGUGGCGAACGGGUGAGUAACACGUGAGUAACCUGCCCAUGACUUUGAGAUAACUUCAGGAAACUGGGGCUAAUACCGGAUAGGAGCUCCUGCUGCAUGGUGGGGGUUGGAAAGUUUCGGCGGUUGGGGAUGGACUCGCGGCUUAUCAGCUUGUUGGUGGGGUAGUGGCUUACCAAGGCUUUGACGGGUAGCCGGCCUGAGAGGGUGACCGGCCACAUUGGGACUGAGAUACGGCCCAGACUCCUACGGGAGGCAGCAGUGGGGAAUAUCGCACAAUGGGCGGAAGCCUGAUGCAGCAACGCCGCGUGCGGGAUGACGGCCUUCGGGUUGUAAACCGCUUUCGCCUGUGACGAAGCGUGAGUGACGGUAAUGGGUAAAGAAGCACCGGCUAACUACGUG
This 468-nucleotide ribosomal RNA is filed under the name uncultured bacterium. Its description in RNAcentral is "partial 16S ribosomal RNA". It matches the Rfam family "Bacterial small subunit ribosomal RNA", at positions 28 to 507 of the family's 1533-position model. The record is from RNAcentral.